This 215-nucleotide unclassified non-coding RNA is filed under the name Hevea brasiliensis (rubber tree). Lineage: Eukaryota; Viridiplantae; Streptophyta; Magnoliopsida; Malpighiales; Euphorbiaceae. The record is from RNAcentral.
GGAUAGCAUAAAUCUGCCAAGAUCUUGAGGAAUUUGCCACCAUCAGUGCGAGAUGCAAUGAGCGUCAAAACCACAGGAACAAGUACCGAGCAUAGCUGAGAGGGACCUGGUGCUAGGAAGAUGGCAAAUGUGUAACCCAUUCCAGUCACACAAUACACAAGGCACAGUAACACCACAUAAUUAUCUGCGAAAGAAGAUCUUGGGUUGCAGAAAAA